CCCUUCCAGUUUGCAAGCAUCGAACAACGAGGAGUAAGGUUGAGAAUUGAGUGUCCUGAAAAUCGCAAUAUCUUCAACUCUAUCUCCAACUCCAAAAUCUUCACUGCGUCGAUCACAAAAAAAUGACGACGAAAUUUCAAAUGUUCACCGGAAUACCCUCCGCGCCACUUCAACCUUCUUCCUCUUCCAUCCUCAAGAAGCCUCUCGUCACUUCCUUCUUCGGCAGACCAGUGGACACUUUGAAAUUUAGAGGAGUGAGGACUGCGAAACGGGUGCGAGGCGGAGGAGCGAUCGGUGCCAGCAUGAACCUAUUUGAUAGGUUUGCGAGAGUCGUGAAGUCUUAUGCAAAUGCUCUUGUGAGUUCGUUUGAAGAUCCGGAGAAAAUCUUGGAUCAAGCUGUGCUUGAAAUGAAUGAUGAUUUGACUAAAAUGCGGCAAGCUACAGCACAAGUAUUAGCAUCUCAAAAGCGAAUGGAAAAUAAAUACAAGGCCGCACAACAAGCUUCUGAAGAGUGGUAUCGUAAAGCACAACUUGCUCUUCAGAAAGGUGAAGAAGAUCUUGCUCGUGAAGCACUUAAGCGGCGUAAAUCUUUUGCAGAUAAUGCCAGUGCUUUGAAAGCUCAACUUGAUCAGCAAAAGAGUGUUGUGGACAAUCUUGUCUCAAAUACACGCCUUUUGGAAAGUAAAAUUCAGGAGGCGAGGUCGAAGAAGGAUACUCUAAAAGCACGAGCUCAAUCUGCAAAGACUGCAACCAAGGUGAGUGAGAUGCUGGGAAAUGUCAAUACAAGCAGUGCUCUUUCAGCUUUUGAAAAAAUGGAAGAGAAAGUGAUGACAAUGGAGUCCCAAGCUGAAGCUCUGGGCCAGUUGACAACUGACGAUCUUGAUGGGAAGUUUGCAUUGCUUGAGAGCUCAUCAGUUGAUGAUGACCUUGCAAAUUUGAAGAAAGAAUUGGCUGGUAGUUCAAAGAAAGGAGAGCUUCCUCCUGGAAGAAGUAGCACCACUAGCACCAAGACUGGAAACCCAUUUCGAGAUGCUGACAUUGAGAUAGAACUUGAGCAACUGAGAAAAAGAUCAAAGGAGUUUUAAAGUUUUAGUUGCCUCCUGACUUUGGAUGUAAACAUCUCCAACGAGGAGCAAGUUGUAACGCUGCAUGGAUAUGGAAAAGCAGUACUUGGAGCAAGAAAGAUACAUUGAUAGCGUGAAGCUGAAUGUUCGAUGUUUCAUAUUUCAAAUUAUAGGAAAUUUUUUCACCGUGGUUACUCUUUAAUGAAAUCAGUACAUGGGCGCACUCAAAUCAUUUAUUGACAUCUCUGAUAUUAAUAUGUCAUGAUCUAAAAUGAGCAACUAUAAACAUUUUCCCGUAAAUAUAACUCAGAUGAUAAGAGGUAGUAGAGUCAUUGAUAUUAUAGGAUGCUAGUUCAAAU
Vicia villosa (hairy vetch) is the source of this 1423-nucleotide RNA transcript. It is a transcript of the gene named membrane-associated 30 kDa protein, chloroplastic, with no coding region annotated. The transcript is spliced from 13 exons. The record is from RefSeq and is a predicted model, not a curated record. NCBI's taxonomy places the organism in Eukaryota, Viridiplantae, Streptophyta, Magnoliopsida, Fabales, Fabaceae.